Long non-coding RNA from Eublepharis macularius, 3768 nucleotides. RefSeq lists it as uncharacterized. The record is from RefSeq and is a predicted model, not a curated record. The transcript is spliced from 3 exons. NCBI's taxonomy places the organism in Eukaryota, Metazoa, Chordata, Lepidosauria, Squamata, Eublepharidae.
UGGAGGACGUGGCUUCCUUUAUUCAGUCCAGCCCUCUCGCUUUGGAUCUUCCUCUUUUCCUACUGCCUGCUGGCACCUUAAAGAAGAACAACAUUUAAUGCAAUAGGAACUUGGGGAGGCAGAGCUCAUUUCUUCAGGUGUUGUUAGAGUCUUCAUUAUUCUGCUGCAAGAGACUGACACGGCUUCUCCUCCAGAAUUAUGAUAGGAAGUAUGACGACUGGGAUGACUCCUCGGCGCGGCAGACAAUCUUCCUCCUGCUCCGCGGACAGCAUAACCGAGAAGGCCCGAGGCGCGUCCUUGCCUCAUUUGCAACUUGAUCUGCAAGUUUAAUGAGCUGUCAGAGAUGUCACACACCUUGUGGGACUCACCUUUUCACCUCUUCCUUUGCGUCUCGGAUUUUUUACGAUGAUGGAUCUCUUGGCCACCGCUUCUUUCCAGACAAUGGGAGCAGAGUGGUAAUUAAAAUCUGCCAAGAGAGAAGUAAAUCAAAGGGGUAUUUAAGAAAGAAAAGAAAAGAAGACACCUGUGGGGCAGCGGCAGCCCGAAACAAGCGGAGCCGGUUUCCAACGGCUCGUAAAAGCAAAGUCACCUGCUUCCCCGUUGGCAGGCACUGGCGGAUGGGUGGGGAGGGGGCAGGGGCCGUAGAUUUCUUUAACAACGCCGAAUGUGCUAUUUAUAACUAGCAUGCAUGGUAGCUGUGCUGCUGCAGAGUUUUUUCCGCUUGCCAUGUGCUGAGGUUGAAUGACAUACGGCAGGCAAAUGCACUGAGCAUUUCGAUAGCUCAUUGAGACAAGGAAAAUCCGCUCCAGGUGGGAGAAGUGGGAGGCAGGGAGGGAGAAAGGAAACUGUGUACCCCCCCCCCAUUUCCCCACUCCACAUUUCCCCCUGACUUGUUCCCCCUUGAAAGGUUUUAAAUGUGGGGAAAUACGAUAUUUAAUAACCCAUGGAGGGAUGUGCCAAUGGGGUGGGUUGCGCAAUUUGGAGUGGGGAAGCAGGAAACGGGGAGACCAUUAAAUGUGCCCUCUCUCUUCUGCGGCUUCUGUGCUCCUGAUCAACCCCCACCCCCCACCCCAAAGCAGCUGUUCUUCAUGGAAACAACUCACUGGGCUAUCAUUACAUGCAUUCACAUGUCAGGAGUCAUCAGUGAGUGAGGUUGCCGAGAAGAAAGGCACACGCACAUGAGUGGGAACAGGUCAUCUGCCACGGAAGAAUGACCCCUUUUCACAAGUUUUGCUCUAGGGGUCUCUUGAGUGCUCUUGUCUGAAUUUCAAGUUCGCUUCUAGAUUUUUUAGCAUGAAAGGUGGCUUCUCAGGGCUGAGCGCAACACUGCAAGAAUCACGAGCAGCCACUCAGAAAUGCAGCCGUGUGUUUUCUCCUCGUUCUGCUUUGUAACACACAGCGUGCCUUGCCUCUUUCCUGGCCUUGUGCUGCACAUUUCUCUGAUCCUGUGGGAAGCCAAAGAUAUUGUCCAGGAGGUGAAGAAACACACAAAAGAAACACGUCAGAAAAGCAGUACGGAAGGGGGUUUCCAUACUAGGGGAAAUUACAUAAUUUCUAUCAUUCGUACACACAAUUAUAACGGAGGUUCCACAUGAUAUCGGCCUUGAAUCUGCUCCUGUCUCAUUCUUUCCUCCUUGUGGCCCCGUGGCCCUGCAGUGGGUGGGCAGCCUUUGCUUUAGUAUUUCGGCACGUUCUCGGGAUAGAUGUUUUGGGGAAUGGUGCAAAGCAGAGUUCCUGUUGUCAGCCUCUGGUUGCUGAAACCAUUACAGUUGCCAUUAAAAAAAUGAAAUUGGUGCUAUUACACUAUUACGCUACUGUGAAUUGGCACAAUUUCUACUUCUUCCAUUAAGCGAUAUUCCUGAAAAUAAGUUUAUGGAGCUACCUGGCCUUCGACAUCAGCAAUCAGUGAGGGAAGGGGAUUCGUGAUCAAUAACGGCACAGAACCCCCUGUGUGGCUUGGAAAAUACGAGCAGUGAAUGAUUUCAAGAGUGCAAUAUCCCUCUGAUGUACGAAUCCUUUAUUGCAAUUCCAUAUGAUGUUUUCCUGCAAUAGUGAGUGACAGCCUGCUAACAUACAAUGGCCUAGCCUGGAACCACCCAAUGUGGCACUAGGCAUUGUGGGGGGAAUAAUCAGGGCUUUUUUUCAGGGGGAACGCGGUGGAACGGAGUUCCAGCACCUCUUGAAAAUAAUCAGCAAUAGUGCUUGAAAAUAAUAUUAUUUCAAAGAAUCCUGUGUGUUUCUUACUCAUUUCCCUCUUAAGAGUUCCGCCACCACUUUUCCCAGAAAAAAAACCCUGAUAAUAAUAAUAAUAGCAACAACAACAACAACAAUGGCAACGUUCGAUUUAUAUACCGCCCUUCAGGACAACUUAACGCCCACUCAGAGUGGUUUACAAAAUGUGUUAUUAUUAGCCCCAUUUCUUUGAGACAAUGAGUUCCUCUGUCACAAAAACCAUUAGGCACUCCCCCUCGGCCACUCUCCUCUCCUGCUUUCUCCACCUUUAUCACAUUUUUUAAAAAUCCUCUUUUAAUCUGACUUGGGGCUUUAUCAGAUAUUUAUUCUUUAGUUUUUAUCGCUUAGUUCCAUACAGUUGAGUUUCAUUUUCCUUCUGCCUUUUGGCAGGUUUGCACUAUCUUACAAAACACAUCUUUUUAGUUUUUCCUUUUUUUAGAUCUGUCAUGGGACCAAAGUUACUCUAUGUUCAAUUAUUUUUUACAAAGAUCCCUAUUAUGAAGAGAAAGUGGAUGGAGCUGUCAAAUGUCCACUGCUCCCUGUCAAAGAAUCAAUUUUUGUAUCAACAACAGUCACUCUUCUUCUAAACUGUGAACCUGGACAGAUCGUGAGAGGGAGAGCAGGAAGGGGUACAUCAGUGCUGAGUUCUUGUGGCCCCUUCUUACAUGCCCAGGGUAAUGCCAAUCACCACUUUGGGGUCAGGAAGCAAUUUCCCCCAGGCCAGUUUGGCUAAGGAUCCUGACAGUGAUUUGCCAUCUUCUGGGCAUAGAGCAAGGGCCACUGGAGGUAUGGGGAGGGAGGUAAUUGUGAAUUCCCUGCAUUGUGCAGGGUGGUUGGACUAGAUGACCCUGGAGGUACCUUCUAACCCUAGGAUUCUAGGAUUCGACUUCCUUCAUACCCUGUCUGUCUCUGUAAUGGGAACCCAAAGUGGCACAUCAUUGUCCUGUGCUUCAUUUGAUCCAUCCAACUUGAGAGAGCAAUACAUCAAAGGGGUUGUUUUGUCAGAGGAGUGAUGGUUGAGGUGUGUGUGAGGUCAUGUUCAUAUGCAUGGAGAUAGCAGUAGAGUGUGUAUGUAAUCUCAACUCCCCUCUGUCUGGAGAUCAGGGGGCAAGGCCAGCGGCCAUGUGACCAUUUUCAAGAGGUGCCAGAACUCCAUUCCACCGCGUUCCUGCUGAAAAAAAGCCCUGGUUUUAUUCAUUUACUUCAUUUCGAGCCCACCAUUCCUCCAAAAAGCCCCAGGCAGCGUGCAUUUCUCCCCUCCUCUAUUUUAUUCUCACGACAACCCUGCGAGGCAGGCUAGGCGGAGAGAGAGAGAGACUGCCCCAAGGUCAUCCAGCGAGCUUCAGCACUAGUCUGCCCCUCUAAUCACAGCAAGACACCGGCUCUCGUCAUCUUUGCUGAUGAUUGAUGAUUACACGUCCUGUUUAAUUUUAAUUGCAUUUUAGGACUUUAUUAUUAUUUAAUUUCAUGCUGUUAGCUGACUUGGGAAUGAUAAUUGAAAGGCUGCCUGUCAUGACUCUAAAUACAUAAAAUGGA